AGCCAAAGAGCGGAAGCAGGCGUGGGAAGCCCGGGUGCCGACGGUCUCGUUUACCUAGCAGCUCGGCUAGUCGGGCACUAGUAGUGCGCUUCCUCGCGGCUGUCGUAAGUCCCACGCUGUUGACUGUGACACCGAUCUCCGAUUCUGUCCUCGAGGCACUAAAGAUGUGGCGAAGGCCCGAAGUGAGGCCGCUGCCACUGCACUUUGUCCUGCGACUCCCCAAGGACUGGCCGAGGAAUGGCGGGCUAGCCACUUCCCAGUCCUGUCCCUACGGGAUCUGAAAAGACUCGGCAUCCCGGGAUCUGGAGGGUCACUUCCCUCGCUGCAUCCCCAUUGUGCAACUGCCAGUCUCAAAAUUGAUGUAGGUUAAUCUCCUGGAGAAACUAGAGGCAGCCAAGGAGGAUGCUGUUGCAAGAGAUUCCAGGAAAAGAUAAUGAUAAUGUGGACUUGGAAGAUGGCAGAGGAGUUGCAGAAAAGUGACCAGAUUUUAGAGAUGUCCAGCUCCAACCUGGUUUCAUAGACAUGGUAAUACUGGAACAACCUCUUCUCCAAGAUUCUCAGGCAGUCAGAGGCCCUGAGAAGAGAGGAUCAGAAUAAAGAUUGAUUUCCUCAUUGAUGUGAAUUUUGUCACAACCACCAUCUUUGGAAUUCAGAUGUUACUAUGAAGUAUUAAGAUCUUCCUCUUUAGUUUUCUGAAACUUUACAUGAACUGUCAAGGUAUGAUCUGGAGUCUUUCAGUUUGUGUUUGUAUUUAUUUUAAAUAGCUCAUGGGCCCUUUCACUGGCAGUUUUAUUUCUUCGAUUGAUAAUAAGGUAUUUUAAGGCUGGGUGUGGUGGCUCACGCCUGUAAUCCCAGCACUUUGGGAGGCCGAGGCGGGCGGAUCAUGAGGUCAGGAGCUUGAGACCAGCCUGGCCAACACGGUGAAACCCCGUCUCUACUAAAAACACAAAAAUUAGUUGGGCAUGGUGGUGUGCGCCUGUAAUCCCAGCUACUGGGGAGCGGGGCAGGAGAAUGGCUUGAACCCAAAAGGUGGAGGUUGCAGUAAGCCGAGAUCGUGCCACUGCACUCCAGCCUGGGCGACAAGUAAGACUCCGUCUCAAAAAAAAUGAAAAAAAGAGAUUUUAUUCUGUUAUUCUUUGUAUAUUCCCUCUCUAUCCAUUCCCACCAUUCUCUCCUUCUGGAACGCCUCUGCAGUUUUCCUCAAAUGUGUAGUGAUUCUUGGUUGUGUCCUUAGGUUUACAUUUUUAGUUACCUGCUAAUCUGCCUGUCUGUCUGUCUGUGAGUGCUUAUCUGUGUAUUGUGUUCUGCUUCCUGUGGUUACAGAGGAGAGGUAGGACAUACCACCAAGCUAAGGGGGUCAUCAGCUCAUCUUCUGGGCAUGGGAACCCCCACUUUCUUUUGGUGGUAUAUAUGCCUGCUGAGUACUCCCGGCUUGCAAUACCCAAGUGUUCUCAUUCACUGGAUAUUGCUUUUGCGGCUUGCUGCAUAGCACAAGUGGAAGAAUGAAGGGAGGAACUGCCUAAUUGUUCCUACUAUUGUAACAUUACAAAAAUCACACUGAAUAUUGACUGGGGACUGCCUCUUGUUCCCCAUAUCUGCUUUUCCUAAGCUUGGAAAGGAAGAAACCUGGACAAACGUAUUUGUUUAUAUUAUCAAUUUGAUCCAAUACUCCUGUAGACAUGUUCAAACAUUUUUAACAGAUAUACUACUUUUCAAAUAAAAUGUUAUGUAGAGGAUCAAUAUAUUAGGUAAAAGCAAAACUGAUCUGCUUGAAGCAGAGGAGGCAGCC
Molecule: long non-coding RNA, 1789 nt
Organism: Macaca mulatta (Rhesus monkey)
Lineage: Eukaryota; Metazoa; Chordata; Mammalia; Primates; Cercopithecidae
Source: Ensembl